Molecule: long non-coding RNA, 5748 nt
Organism: Passer domesticus (house sparrow)
Lineage: Eukaryota; Metazoa; Chordata; Aves; Passeriformes; Passeridae
Exons: 6
Source: RefSeq, a predicted model, not a curated record
ACCUGCUCUACACCUAAUGCCAAAAAAGCCUGCAAAGUUCUCCUCUGCUACAAAGCAACACACAAAGCCCUCCUAGCCCAUCACUUGUUGCUCAAGAACAAGGCAAGCCAGAGUGGUGACACCGAUCCCAAGUGAGUCCAGCCAAGCCAAGUGGAGCCCAGCAGGGUGGUAGGAAGAGGCAGCAAAGUGGCAGAUCCCAUUCCCACACACAUGCCCAGCGUGGCAGACUGAUGGCAGGGGCAGUGCCAAACAGAGCUCUGCAGGGACAGAGAGACACCCAUCACCAUCGCCACUGCCACCAUCCCUGCUGCAGAGAGGGAGCAGGAAACUGCCACUGCAGGUGCACAGCUGCUCCAGGCAGCACCAGCAGUUCCCAUCUACCAUCAGAACCAUUCUGGGAGAGAGGAGAGGCUUUACAAGGACUACCUCAAGAAGAGGACAUAGAAUGAUGGAGGGAAGGCCUUAGAAAGAAUAAACAACCCUCAUGCUGCUGCUUUUGGAAGGAAUAAAUGUCCAAGUUACUUAAUAUCCAGACACAAAUCUGUGGAGUCUUGACAGACAAGAAGCACAGGAACCUGGACACCUUGUUGUGAGAGACUAGAGGAGAUUGCUGGCUCAACACUUUUCAGGGGCUUGUAUGUGGGGAAGGGGGCAGAUCAAGCCUUGCUCUGGUGAGGCGAUGCCCCACUCGGCAUGCCCCACACCCCCAGGCCUGUAUCCCAGCCCAGCAGCGGCCACUGAUCCCUGGCACACCAGAGGCAAUGCUCCACACCUGUGUCUGGAGCCCCUAACCCAGCUCCUAAAUGGCCAGCUUGGGGGACUCGUCUGGGAUAGCCACGCCUGAAGAGGACACCAGGACUGGGACGGCCGCCCACCCUGGACCUGCAGGACAGCUGGCUAUCGGGACCAGAGAAGAUCGGCUUGGGACAGUGACACGGAGCAGCGCCGGAUAGAAGAGUCCCGAAUGAUUAGGGCCGCAAGCAUAAGAAUUUGGGAAAAAGACAACCGUCCAGGGCCCCAAGUGCCAUCAGGAGAAGAAAAAUUGCCACUAGUGGAUCCCAAUUGGAAUCCUAACCAGGAGGAAGGUACUCCUCAUCGCUAAUUCGGCCGUGCGAACCAGAGAAAAAGGUUGGACUCACAUUACGAGAAUUAAAGGACCAGUCCCACCCCCGAGCAUUGGACAAGAUUCUUCAGUGUCUGGUAUUGGACCAGAUUCCACACCACCCUCACACCCUAACUCGGGACAGGAUUCAACCACAUCGGAAGUUAAUUCAGCUGAGUAUACUAUUAUAAAAGGACCAAAUGACUUAAAAUUGACAUUCAAAAAGACUGAUGAACUGCAUAAGAAAAAAGUUUAGAAUCAUAACAUGUCUUGAAGUGUUUUAAGAAAUUUGUAAAAGUUAAAAAUUGUUAAUAAGUAAUUCUGGUUAAGUCGUCCCAACUUGGUACCAAAGACCCCAGGUUAAUCUUCUCCAGAGUGCUCCCCUAGGAAGGACCAAAUUAGCAGGGACAGAUCAAGAGAGGUUUAACCAGAGGAGCAAGAGACUCUAAAGAACUUGGAGACUUCUUCUCAGUAAAAUCCUCAAGAGGCAAGGCCGGGUGGGCAGGCUGUGCAAGAUGACCCAUACCAGACUCUUGGGAAGGGUAGUAACGCUGGCUCUGAUUGCUGGUGGUGCUCUGGAGAGCCCAGGAGAGCUGUGCAAUGAGUACUACCAACCUUUCUAUGAGAAAGAAGUAAGCUCCUUGCUGAGAGUCCACAACAAUUGUGUUAACCUCUCCCAAUUGAUCUUUUAUCAAGAGAAUAAGAAAAUAUAUUGGAUGGCCUGGAACACUGCCACCUUUAGGCAGCCACUCCUGGGAGAGCACCCUGUAGGAGAAACCUGGUGGUGCUUUGAACAUGAUGCUACUGAAGCAAACCUGGUAAAUCUGGUAAAAGGAAAAAGUAUUUCUAAAUAUUGGGAGGGCACGACAAAAAUUAAUAUCUUUCAGGAAACCCCUAAACACUAGUUUUGGGUCAAUGGUACCACAACAUCCACUGAAUUGCCAAGAGGCUGGUCUAGUGGUGGCAUCAUUAGAAUUAUAAAACAAACUGUCUUUAUAAUACACAAAGAAUCUGGAUCAAGUUUAAGAGUUCCUAUAUAUGAGGAUUUGAGAAAAACAAAACUGAAGAAACAAUAUAUGUUAAACAAAAUCUUGAAACUACAAUCAGAAUUAGAAGUAAUAUCUAAUCAGACCGCAUUGGCUCUUAAUCAUAUUAAUGACCAACUCAACCAAACCAAAACAGUAGUUUAUCAAAUCAAAUUAAUUGUAGCAGUCAUUAGAAACACUUUAAGCGAAAUAAAAAACCUAGCAUAUUUAAGAAAUCAAAAGACUCUUACACUUGAUUCUAGUUGGUGGGAUAAUCUAUGGAUUUUCAAAAAAAGUUGGAAAACUAUAACCUUCACUGUGGGUACACUUGUUAGUCUGUUCUUAUUUCCAUGUUUAACAAAAAUAGUGACAUCUGCUGUACAGAAUAACCUAAAGAUCUCUAAAGGAAUUAACCUGAAAAAACCAAAAAAGGUAAUGAAGUUUAGUAAAUAUGAUCACCCUAGUGCUGAAGAAAUGUAUUAUCAAUACAAAAAAUAUAGGAAAUUCUAUGUUAAUGAGCCAAAAAUUAUAAGUUGAUGCAAGCUUAAGCUUGAUCAAAGAAAAAUAGGGGGGAACUGUUAUGAAUAGAAAAUUGUAAUUUUUUUCAAGUUUCAGAGUUAAAAAAAAACCAAGCCAGACCGAGUCAGCCUCCUUUGGUUUCGCUGCCGAAGGAAAGCUUUUCAAAUACCUGUUAAUGGCAGGUGAUUAACUGAUUGUUUCCCUGAUGCUGGCCGCAUGCCAAGAAGAUACCAAGGGAAACCCUCCAGGGUAAAGAGAAUGGGCAGUGACACCAGAGACAGCAUGCAAAUAAGAAACGCAGUGCACCCUGGAUUUUUACAGUUUUACAGUUUUUAUAAGAAAAACCCCUAAAAUCACGAGCCAACAAGUGACUUAAAGUGACGUCUAAAGAUGGGAGCAUUGUCCCGUACCUGCUUGUAUCUUUUUAUUUCUCACCCUAACCUGAAACGAAACUGAUUAAAGACACCCCCCGGGUUUCUAAACCAACAAACCAAGGACUCAACGACUCUCCCAUGAGGACAGAGUCCCCAGUUCUGUCUGCAGACCAGCGGACAAAACUGCAUCAUCCUCCUCCUUCGUGCCACGCCUGGGAGCAACGGCGGCGAGGGCGCAACCCGUCGAUUUCUCCCCACCUGAGCUGAUUCUUCUUAAUAAAGGCAUUAAAAAGGAGAAAGAUCUCCUGCCCAUUUAUUUCAGCUAGGGCUAAGUUAAUGCUUUAUAGAAUAUUCUCUGUUAUGUUUAAUUUUUUUACCUUUCAAGUUCUCUGAUUUUUGAAAGUUGACAGUGAAGUUUUUUUGUUGUUCCAAUCUCUUGAGAACAUCUCGUCAGUAUUUUUCCUGCUUUUCUAUCUCAAGAGUUCAGGAACAAGUUUAAGUCGUUUUACAGUAUCCCACAGAGCAACAUUUUUGGGGCCUUACAUUUUAAUUGGCGCAGCAAGCAGGGUACUCUUGAGGUGAUAUGGGCCUUUUAUACAGCUGUAAGUGCUCGUGACAUAAUAAAGGAGAAAUAAAUGUUCAGUCAAAGCUGCUAUUUUCUGGCAGGAAAGUAAUGGACUUGCACCCAGAAACUGAUCUGAACUGCUCUCCACUGACACACUUGCUAAAAGCUUAUAUAGAAAGCUUGUCCAGCCCUUAAGAGAGAUGGGGACGGAGAGAAACUAGCACCAUCCACAGUUUCUUCUGGAGAAAACAUGAACUUUGUUAGAAGAAAAUUAAAAACUCCCAGUAAAGGACCAUGCCUGGUAUCCAUAUGCAUGGAGGUUUGACUCAGAGCUCUAUGGUGCCCAUCAGCUGGAAAAGGAACUGCAUCAGCUGCAAAUUGCUGAGCCUGAAACAAUAGCCAGCCUUAGGCCAGAGUAGGAAUUGAAUGCCAGGAUGAAGCCAGCCCCCAAACCAUGACAAACCAGUGAAACACGCUCUUCCAAAGCCAAAGAGCUUUAGAGUUGCAAUUUAACACUGCUGGGGAAGGCCUGGAAGCAGUGUUUUCCAGACUCCAGGAACUCCAGGCCUCCCUGACUGCAAGGUCAGCCCCACAGCCCUUGGGAGGGCUUUAGUGCCUCAAAGUCCAACCCCGCCCCUCACCCUAAACUCUGCCCACCCCUAUAAAAUACAGAGGCAGGAUGCCCCGAAGAUGAUGUCACCUUCCUCUGCUCCCUGGAGGAGAGGUUCGGCUCUGCAAAGCCAAUCUUCUUCCCUCCUCAUCCCAAGCCCUGCUCACUGAUAAAGAAGGAAUUCGCUUAUCAGGAUGUAGUGUCUGGCAGCGAUACCUCAUUCUGCAACAGAAGUGGUUGAACUACACAGGAAAAUAAGCAAUGAUCGCAAAGAAAGGGAAAUGGAGAAUGUUUUGUGAAUUGGAUUUGGGGGAAUGAAAUAGAACUUUUGGAGAAGGAAGCACAUGGUGAAAAGCGCUGGUCUUUUGCUCAGGGAACAACUUGUGGUAUGAAAAGUUUGGACCCCUUGCAGAGGGGGGAACCCCAUACAAUGCAUGAGAAACAGCUAAUGCCUGUUGACCUUCUUCUGUGUUAUUGUAAGUUAUUUCAACAUUCAAGGAUCAAAACUGAGAAAACAAAAUCUUGGCACCACCUCCAAAAAGUUAUGGUUGUUGAUAGAAGGUGGUGGAUUGAAAUAUCCCUAGAGGCUCUCUGGAAAGAAAAUGGGGAUUAAAUGGGGACUCAGUUUCCCCAGAUUCUUAAUGAAGCUUUGCAAACUGCUCCUGCCCUGCCUCCUUCUGGCAGCCCUGGCUAUUGAGCCUUGUCUGCCACCAAAGGCUGGAAGCCGAAAUGCUGCUGCUAGAGCAUAACCCUUAGGAGAAAAUGCUUUUAUCAUCGUGCAAGUUUGUUGUUUUGGUCUCACUAACAAGCCUGAAUGUUCAAGAAUGUCCUCACUAGUCAGGAGACUGGGUGUGCAUCCAGACCCGGAAAGGAGAGCCACUUAACCAGAAGUGGAAAGGACUUUUGAUCCCAUGGCUGUGAGAUUUACAGCUGGACACUCCUAAAUUAUGUGAUUAAAGUUAGCUCUGGACACAUGGAAUUGUAUUGGACAGUCCAGUAAAUGUAACUCUGCUGCAGAUAAAGCUGCAAUGGAACAUUUCUAAAGUGAAAAACAUUAAAUGUUUUCUCUUUCUGCCCAUUUCCAGAGCAGUGUCCCUGGUAUGGCAGCAAGGCUGUUUGUUCCUGAAUUAGUCAACCAUCCUAGCAGGACCAUGUACCUAAUGACUACAAUAGCAAGUAUGGCUUUGAGUGCCAGAGGGGUAAGAGACCAAGAAAGAAAAGAGAGCCAUGUCUGUAGGAGUGUGCACCCUAAUGGCAGAGUGGCAAAACUAGCCUUUGUCCCCCAGAAAAGAAAAGAAGGCCAGAAGUUUCUCUCAAGGAUUAGGUGAAAAGCCACCUCAUGGGACCUCAGGGACUUCACCAAAUACUUGAGGACAUCUAAUUGGAUAGAAGCCAAAAAGUCCCGCUUGAUCCAUCAGGGAGAAAAAGAAGAGAAGAAAAGAGCUAAGUGCUUUUGUGAAGUGUUUUUACCAGGAGCAGACCUCUGCACCUGGCUCGAGUUUUUCUCUUUGUUAUUAUGCCUUUUAUUAAACCUUUUUGUUUCUAACACUGCA